Molecule: long non-coding RNA, 3066 nt
Organism: Bos taurus (domestic cattle)
Lineage: Eukaryota; Metazoa; Chordata; Mammalia; Artiodactyla; Bovidae
Source: Ensembl
AUUCUCCACAGGGGAGGAGGCCCUGUGUUAACCACCCCCACGUGGGCAUGAUUGGGGGGAGGUGCAGGGUAUCUGGAGGCCCGCCCUGACUGCCAACAGCUGACCCAUGAGCAGCCUGCAAUAGGAGCUUUCUUCUCUUUGGGGGAAGGAGAGUGACCCUGUGGACAGUUUCAGGACAUGUCACAGGUUUGACCACCUCUGUGGCUAAGGUACAUAAUGGGGACCCUCUUCUAAGUUCCUCUUACUGACCUUCUGACAGCCUGAAAACACUAAAUGAAUCUUGACUGCAAGAGGACAUGGAGUUUAUCUGUUUCAGAAGCUAGGGGAAGAGUUAGAAAAUAAGGUCUGUAAUGUGUGUGUGAUAGUCACUCAGUCAUGUCCGAUUCUUUGAGACCCCAUGGAUUGCAGGCCGCCAGGCUCCUCUGUCCGUGAAAUUUCCUAGGCAAGAAUACUGGAGUGGGUUGUCAUUUCCUCCUCCAGAGGAUAUUCCUGACCCAGGGAUCGAACCUGGAUAUCCCACAUUGUGAGCAGAUUCUUUACCAUCUGAGCCACUAGGGAAGCCCCAAGGCCCAUAACAGAUCCAUGAAAAUCAAGAGGAUCUCCUUGUGGAGCUCCACGUUUUUACCUACCUCUAUAGCAGGGAUCCCCAACUUCCGGGAUCUAACACUUGAUGAUCUGAGGUGGAGCUGAUGUAAUAAUAAUGGAAAUAAAAGUUAGUCAGGGCUUUCCUGAUGCUCACAUGGUAAAGAAUCUGUCUGCAGUGCAGGAGAUCCAGGUUUGAUCCCUGCGUCGGGAAGAUCCGCUGGAGAAGGGAAUGGCUACCCACUCUAGUACUCUUGCCUGGAGAAUUCCAUGGACAGAGCACAAUAAAUAGAAUGUACUUGAAUCAUCCCAAAACCAUCCCCCUCCGCCUGAUCUGUGGAAAAGUUGUCUUCCACGAAACCGGUCCCUGGGGUCAAAAGUUUGGGGACCACUGCAUAGCAUAUAAUUUCCUCCAGAAAUUACAGCAGGGUAUAAGUGAGAAUGUUAGGAGUUCCUUCUGUCCCCUGAGGAGAGUUUAUAUCCCUGUCCAAAUACACCAAGUUGCUUUGAAAUUGAACAGUGGACUCAGCUCAAUGACUAUUUCCCACGGAUUAGCCUCACAAAGAGGAAAUUCAAAUUUGAGCUUCCAGAAAAUGAAAGACUUGAAUUUCAUGGGUGCUGAAGUUUGGGCAGAUUCAUCAAAAUUGCAUGUUCUUAACCUGUGAGCGUCAGGUGUCAGCUGUGAUGAGUCCUUGGUGUGGUUUUUUGAACUCCAGUAUGCCAGGCAUUGUACUGCGAGCUUGACAGCCACUGUGGAGUUAGCCAAGAUCGUGGCCCUGCCGUGAUCUUGUGUUGUGCAGGGCCGCCAAGGGCCAACUCCAUCUGUGCAGAGGACCUGGACUCCACUCUUGCCCAUUUGGGGCUCCUGCCAGGAAUCCUUGACACUGGAGAUGCAUCUGAUUGAUUCUGGGAUUGGGAAAAGGGAUUGAAGCAGAAUCCCUUCAGCAGUGGGAAGAACAAAAGUCAUGGGAACUGGGUUGUGGAAACAGCAGGAGGAGGCGAGGACUUUUGUUUGAAGGGAAAGAACUGGAGAGUCCUGUCAGAGGUGAGGCUGAGAGCGCUCUGACAAGCAAAGGACACGUGCUGUUUAUAAUCUUAAGUAGGCUUGAUUAUACCUUGAAAGCUUUGUGGCCUCUCUUCCAGGCACCUGGGUCCAAUUAUCCAGGGCCCCAUCUACCUAGAAGAAAAAACUGCAUUUGACUCUCCCAGACUGACUGCACUCUCACCAGACUCUCAUCCUCUUUCUCACAUGAACUUAAAGGAAUGCAAGUGGUAGAGGGGACCAUGGCUGUUGAAAUACACCCUCUAGGAUUUCAUCACUGUUUCAUGUGUUAAAACAGCCUUAAGUUUGAUCAUCAGCAACUUACUCCUCUGCACAGGUUGUCCUGGUAAAAGAAUGAGAUGCUUAUUUUUUUCCCAACUUCACUGAGAUGCAACUGACAUAUAGCAAUGGGAGUUCAUGGUUUCCAGUCUUACUUUUAAGUCCCUAAGCCAUUUCCAGAUGAAGAAAGCGGGAUUUAGAGUAUCCAGACUCAGCUGAAGACUGGAUCCAAAUCCAGACUGAUCCCACAAUCUUGCUUUUUUAUGUCAUCCUCCCCUUAUAGUACCCUGGUCUGCAGGCAGCCUCAAGGACAUCUGAAAAAUGAUUCCUUAAAGAACACAUGGCCAGUAGGAACACCUGAGUUGGCAGUGCUGGAUGAGACGAGUCAGUCCCAGCCAGCUCAACUUGAAUAGGGAAUAAAUGGCAUUGUACCAGGCUCACCUGUAAUUCUGCCUCAACCAUGCAAUUUAGGGUUUAAUUAUAUGCUGUCUUGAGUUGUUUACUAAUUGUUGCAGAGGUCAAUCUUUUACUUUUAUUCAUCAUUCUUCAUUCAGUCAUCAAAUAUAUUGGAGCAACUGGGCACAUUCCUCCUCUGGCAGCCCCUGUGAUAACCAGCAUGGAGAGUCUGUACAGUCAUCCAAACUGGAUAAUUCAAUCAACUCUCCACUUGGAGCCUCGUAUUUGAUGAUCUCAUUGUUGUGGAAAUCUGAGAGAUGAAAAUAUAUAUUGGAGUCAAGAGAGGAGUGUUUUGCAAUACCAACCAAAAGCCUUUAAAAUGUUCUGUCGGUCCAAAAUUUCUACUCAUAGAAAUUCACCUUUAAUAAUCAGAAUUAUUAAUGAAGAUUUAUAAUAAGAUGUUUAUUCAGCUGUGGUGCAUGAUCAUAAUAAAAAUAGAAAUAACCUAAAAAUAUGACAUUAGGAGGAUGGUUGAAUAAGUAACCUCUCUUUGAAUGGCACACAGAUAUUUAAGUUGAACUUUGGAGAUGAUUUAAUGACUUGGGAAAAAUAAUCACAUUUGAAUGUUAAGUUUGAAAAGGAGGAUCACAACUUGUGUAUAUAGUAAACAUGGUUUUACAAAAUAUGAAAGUACCAAAUGUAUAGUGAAGAAACUGACCCCUAAAUUACCAAAGCAUAAGAAAAGAACACAAUAUACUAAAUAAAGG